GAUGAACGCUGGCGGCGUGCUUAACACAUGCCAGUCGAACGAUGAAGCCCAGCUUGCUGGGCGGAUUAGUGGCGAACGGGUGAGUAACACGUGAGUAACCUGCCCUUGACUCUGGGAUAAGCCCGGGAAACUGGGUCUAAUACCGGAUAGGGGCGCCUGUCGCAUGACGGGUGCUGGAAAGAUCUUUCGGUCAUGGAUGGACUCGCGGCCUAUCAGCUUGUUGGUGAGGUAAUGGCUCACCAAGGCGACGACGGGUAGCCGGCCUGAGAGGGUGACCGGCCACACUGGGACUGAGACACGGCCCAGACUCCUACGGGAGGCAGCAGUGGGGAAUAUUGCACAAUGGGCGGAAGCCUGAUGCAGCGACGCCGCGUGAGGGAUGACGGCCUUCGGGUUGUAAACCUCUUUCAGUAGGGAAGAAGCGAAAGUGACGGUACCUGCAGAAGAAGCACCGGCUAACUACGUG
RNAcentral lists this ribosomal RNA (466 nucleotides) under uncultured bacterium. RNAcentral's name for it is "partial 16S ribosomal RNA". It matches the Rfam family "Bacterial small subunit ribosomal RNA", at positions 28 to 507 of the family's 1533-position model. The record is from RNAcentral.